This 567-nucleotide ribosomal RNA is filed under the name uncultured archaeon. RNAcentral's name for it is "bacterial SSU rRNA". It matches the Rfam family "Archaeal small subunit ribosomal RNA", at positions 326 to 897 of the family's 1478-position model. The record is from RNAcentral.
CGGGGUGCACCAGGCGCGAAAACUUUACAAUGCCGGCAACGGCGAUAAGGGAACCUCGAGUGCCAGGUUACAAAUCUGGCUGUCGUGAUGCCUAAAAAGCAUUGCAUAGCAAGGGCCGGGCAAGACCGGUGCCAGCCGCCGCGGUAACACCGGCGGCUCGAGUGGUAACCGUUAUUAUUGGGUCUAAAGGGUCUGUAGCCGGCCGGGUAAGUCUCUUGGGAAAUCUGGCAGCUUAACUGUCAGGCUUUCAGGAGAUACUGCCUGGCUCGAGGCCGGGAGAGGUGAGAGGUACUUCAGGGGUAGGGGUGAAAUCUUGUAAUCCUUGAAGGACCACCAGUGGCGAAGGCGUCUCACCAGAACGGACCUGACGGCAAGGGACGAAAGCUAGGGGCACGAACCGGAUUAGAUACCCGGGUAGUCCUAGCCGUAAACGAUACUCGCUAGGUGUCGGCCACGGUGCGACCGCGGUCGGUGCCGUAGGGAAGCCGUGAAGCGAGCCACCUGGGAAGUACGGCCGCAAGGCUGAAACUUAAAGGAAUUGGCGGGGGAGCACAAGGGCGAAUCGCG